RNAcentral lists this long non-coding RNA (782 nucleotides) under Sus scrofa (pig). Its description in RNAcentral is "lncRNA (ENSSSCG00035032889.1)". The record is from RNAcentral. Lineage: Eukaryota; Metazoa; Chordata; Mammalia; Artiodactyla; Suidae.
UUUGCUCUUCAUUUCAACAUGUCUUUUCCUCUUACUCUUUGUGAUUUUCACUUGAUCCUUUUGAGUUUUGAUUCCAAAGUUCUUAAGAGACAGAGAUCCUAUUGGCUGGUGCAAGACCAUAGCAGUUGUGUGUGUGUGUGUGUGUGUGUGAGAGAGAGAGAGAGAGGGAGAGGGAGAGGGAGAGGGAGAGGGAGAGGGAGAGGGAGAGCGCUGAGUCACUGUCUCCCAUUUCUGGCUUUGCUUCUCACAUCCACAACCCAUGUGCUCUACUUCCAUUUUUUCCUCUCAUUCCUGUUCCAAGCACAUCUGAAGGGCCCUCCAGACUAAGACUCCACCAUGAGCACCUUUCACCUUGCACUUCCCCGACCCUGCUUCCCUUGUCCAGGACUACCAACAGGAUGCUGGACCAGGCUGAGCUGGACAGCCAUAGCCAGGUAGCCAGUUGGAUCCCUCUCCAGUGAUAACAAAGGUCUGGAGUCUCAGAGGGCUUUUCCUAGGACAAGACGUACCUCCAGAUCAAGAAAUUAUUUCAGCUGUGGCAUGAUCAACAAGUUCUGGAGAGGAAGGAAACCUUUCUAAACCACAAAUAACAAAAAACAUCUAUCUAUUAUGUCAGAAGACAAAGUUGUCUUUCUAUUCUCUGUACAUAAAAUGGCAUUGUAAAAUUUUUACCAUGUGAAAAAAGAUCAAUGAGUAUAACGCCAAAAAUAUAGGGAAAAGAUGUAUUACAUAGAUGGGUCAGCACUUUAGUUGUAAUUGUAGCAAAAAUUGUUAAUUAAAAC